AUAUGACAUAUUACUGGAAUGGCAUACAAAAGACGAGGAAGUCAAAGAGGCAAUGAUUAAAUGGGCAAUUGACUUCGGUUAUAACAUCGAGUUUGAAAAGUGGUUGAAAUUGUGGAAUAGAGACAUUAAAUUUACGGCCUGUACGAGUUUGAGAGAAAAUGUUUGGAAAAUGCUCUAUAGAUGGUAUCUUACGCCGGCAAAAUUGGCUAAAAUCUAUAGAUCAGAAAAUAAGACAUGCUGGAAAUGUGGUGAAGGGGAGGGAGACCUCUACCAUAUGUGGUGGCAAUGCAGCAAGGUGAAGGUUUUUGGGAAGCAAUUUAUAAUGAACUUAAAAAGUUUUUAAAUACACUUUUCCCAAGAGACCUGAGGCCUUUUUGCUGGGAAUAAUGGGUAAGGAAAUAAAAAUGAAGAUAAAAAUAUUUCUCUAUGCCACCACAGCCGCAAGAAUUAUGCUGGCACAAAACUGGAAAAUAGAAACUAUUCCUAACAUAAGUGACUGGCAGGUCAAAAUGAUCAACUAUGCCGAGCUAGAUAGAUUAACAGGCAGAAUACGAGACCAAGACGACCAGAAAUUUCAAAAAAUUGGAGUAAGUUUUGGAAAUAUAUUGGAACGGAUAUAUAGGAGGAGCUGGCGGUAUUAGAAAAACUUUAUCAGCUAAUAACUAUAAACUUUAAUAAACUAAUUACGCAACCCGGGACUUAUUUGAUACUUACCAAAAGGGUGAAGGGAAGUCAAAGGCUAAGGAGAGCCUAAUGGUUAUAUUAUUAUUUUUUGUAUGAACGUAUGCUUUCUUUUUGUAUAGUAUGAAAAUAGGAUGAAUAAUUUAUGUUAAAAUGUUUAUUUUUGUAUUUGUUAGUUCUUUUUUCUUUUCUUUAUACAAAUUCUGAAUAAAAAUUUACUUGCGAAAAAAAAAA
Non-coding RNA from Podarcis lilfordi (Lilford's wall lizard), 915 nucleotides. The record is from the annotation of a GenBank genome assembly. NCBI's taxonomy places the organism in Eukaryota, Metazoa, Chordata, Lepidosauria, Squamata, Lacertidae.